GACAGAGGGUGCAAACGUUGCUCGGAAUUACUGGGCGUAAAGCGCGUGUAGGUGGAUUGGUGUGUCAGAUGUGAAAGCCCUGGGCUCAACCCAGGAACUGCACCUGAAACUACCAGUCUUGAGUGGUGGAGAGGGAAGUGGAAUUCCUGGUGUAGAGGUGAAAUUCGUAGAUAUCAGGAGGAACACCGGUGGCGAAGGCGGGUCUCUGGGCAGUAACUGACGCUGAGGAGCGAAAGCGUGGGGAGCGAACAGG
Molecule: ribosomal RNA, 253 nt
Filed under: uncultured bacterium
Lineage: Bacteria
Description: partial 16S ribosomal RNA
Rfam family: Bacterial small subunit ribosomal RNA
Source: RNAcentral